Molecule: ribosomal RNA, 496 nt
Filed under: uncultured bacterium
Lineage: Bacteria
Description: partial 16S ribosomal RNA
Rfam family: Bacterial small subunit ribosomal RNA
Source: RNAcentral
GAUGAACGCUGGCGGCGUGCCCAAUACAUGCAAGUCGAGCGAACAGAUGAGGAGCUUGCUCCUAUGACGUUAGCGGCGGACGGGUGAGUAACACGUGGAUAACCUACCUAUAAGACUGGGAUAACUUCGGGAAACCGGAGCUAAUACCGGAUAAUAUAUUGAACCGCAUGGUUCAAUAGUGAAAGACGGUUUUGCUGUCACUUAUAGAUGGAUCCGCGCCGCAUUAGCUAGUUGGUAAGGUAACGGCUUACCAAGGCAACGAUGCGUAGCCGACCUGAGAGGGUGAUCGGCCACACGGGAACUGAGAAACGGUCCAGACUCCAACGGGGGGCAGCAGUAGGGAAUCUUCCGCAAGGGGCGAAAGCCUGAGGGAGAAACGCCGCGUGGGUGAUGAAGGUCUGCGGAUCGUAAAACUCUGUUAUUAGGGAAGAAAAAAUGUGUAAGUAAAUAUGCACGUCUUGACGGUACCAAAGCAGAAAGCCACGGCUAACUACGU